Molecule: ribosomal RNA, 292 nt
Filed under: uncultured bacterium
Lineage: Bacteria
Description: partial 16S ribosomal RNA
Rfam family: Bacterial small subunit ribosomal RNA
Source: RNAcentral
GUGCCAGCCGCCGCGGUAAUACGUAGGGGGCAAGCGUUGUCCGGAUUUACUGGGUGUAAAGGGUGCUCAGGCGGGUUUGUAAGUCAGAGGUGAAACUCCGAAGCUUAACUUCGGAACUGCCUUUGAUACUGCAUCCCUAGAGUUUGAGAGAGGCGAGUGGAAUAUCUGGUGUAGCAGUGAAAUGCGUAGAUAUCAGAUAGAACACCAAUGGCGAAGGCAGCUCGCUGGCUCAAUACUGACGCUAAAGCACGAAAGUGUGGGUAGCAAACAGGAUUAGAAACCCCUGUAGUCC